This 406-nucleotide ribosomal RNA is filed under the name uncultured bacterium. Its description in RNAcentral is "partial 16S ribosomal RNA". It matches the Rfam family "Bacterial small subunit ribosomal RNA", at positions 28 to 525 of the family's 1533-position model. The record is from RNAcentral.
GACGAACGCUGGCGGCGUGCCUAAUACAUGCAAGUAGAACGCAGUUGCGAACGGGUGAGUAACGCGUAGGUAACUGCCUCAUAGCGGGGGAUCACUAUGGGAAACGCUAGCUAAUACCGCAUACUGUGGGAUGGACCUGCGUUGUAUUAGCUAGUUGGUGAGGUAAAGGCUCACCAAGGCGACGAUACAUAGCCGACCUGAGAGGGUGAGCGGGCACACUGGGACUGAGACACGGCCCAGACUCCUACGGGAGGCAGCAGUAGGGAAUCUUCGGCAAUGGACGGAAGUCUGACCGAGCAACGCCGCGUGAGUGAAGAAGGUUUUAGGAUCGUAAAGCUCUGUUGUUAGAGAAGCGUGAACUAACCAGAAAGGAACGGCAAACUACGUGCAAGCAGCGGCGGUAAAC